CCCUUAGAUGUCCUGGGCCGCACGCGCGUUACACUGAUGCAUUCAACGAGCUUAUAACCUUGGCCGAGAGGCCUGGGCAAUCUUGUUAACGUGCAUCGUGAUAGGGAUAGAUUAUUGAAAUUAUUAAUCUUGAACGAGGAAUUCCUAGUAAACGCAGAUCAUCAUUCUGCAUUGAUUACGUCCCUGCCCUUUGUACACACCGCCCGUCGCACCUACCGAUUGGAUGGUCCGGUGAAGCCUCGGGAUUGUGGUUCUUGCCGCUUUAUUGUGGCGUGACCGCGAGAACUUGUCUAAACCUUAUCAUCUAGAGGAAGGUGAAGUCGUAACA
This 328-nucleotide ribosomal RNA is filed under the name uncultured eukaryote. Its description in RNAcentral is "partial 18S ribosomal RNA". It matches the Rfam family "Eukaryotic small subunit ribosomal RNA", at positions 1470 to 1796 of the family's 1831-position model. The record is from RNAcentral.